UACAGAGGUCUCAAGCGUUGUUCGGAUUCAUUGGGCGUAAAGGGUGCGUAGGUGGCGCCGUAAGUCGGGUGUGAAAUUUCGGAGCUUAACUCCGAAACUGCAUUCGAUACUGCGGUGCUUGAGGACUGGAGAGGAGACUGGAAUUCAUGGUGUAGCAGUGAAAUGCGUAGAGAUCAUGAGGAAGACCAGUGGCGAAGGCGGGUCUCUGGACAGUUCCUGACACUGAUGCACGAAGGCCAGGGGAGCAAACGGG
RNAcentral lists this ribosomal RNA (253 nucleotides) under uncultured bacterium. Its description in RNAcentral is "partial 16S ribosomal RNA". It matches the Rfam family "Bacterial small subunit ribosomal RNA", at positions 524 to 776 of the family's 1533-position model. The record is from RNAcentral.